UGCCGAUGAGUCCGUGCAGAUGACACAACCAAGCUCAAGGAGGAGCUCGAUGAAGAUCUUGUCCUUUAUGUUGUUUCGUUCUAGUUGAUCAGUAGUGGAGCCCAGUUGGGGUCGAUCGGGGACCUUGUCGCAUUUGGGGUUCUUCUUUUAUUUUGGUUCCGUAGUCGAACCUUGAUUGUAUCUGUUUGAUGUAAUGCUUUAUUCAUGUAAUUGUGUGAAGUGGCGAUUGUAAGCCAACUAUGUAUCUUUCCCUUAUGUAUUACAUGGGUUGUGUGAAGAUUACCUUACUUGGGACAUUGCUUUCAAUGCAGUUAUGCCUCUAAGUCGUGCUUCGACACGUGGGAGAUAUAGCCGCAUCGAGGGUGUUACAAGUUGGUAUCAGAGCCUUCCCCGACCUUAGGAGCCCCACUGCUUGAUCGUUUUUAGCAGCCAUUGUUGAGUCUAGAAAAUGUUUUGAGUCAUUUAGGAAUUAUAUAUCGGAGAGUUUAGGAAUUCUUUUUACUCCCCGGUCCCUUCAUCGCUCUGGUAAGGCAUCCUGACGUAGAGUUUUGACUCUUCUCUUCUCAAAUUUCACUAAAAAAAUUUAGGAUCACGCGGGUAUCUUGGAAUCGUUCCAAUGGUUUUGUGAUGAGAACAUUGUCUUGGUGCCUCCUGUCAGGGGUUUUGUGGAAGUGUCCCGGGGAGUUGAGCUCCGAGGUGUUGUCGUCACAAUUUUAUCGUUGUAGUUCUGGAAUACCCGAGUUUAGUUCACCGACAUCGAAAAUCUCUUUUAUGCAGUUGUUGGUGAGAUAACCUCGACGCCACCCAGUACUGGGGCGGGAGUUCGGGAGUAUUGCCAUAACUCGUAUAACGGAUGCUUUUCGAAGGUUGAGGUAGAUGAUUUUCGAAGGUUUCUUGGUUAUGUGUUGAAGGAUGGAUACAACUGGAUGUAGGAUUUGUUAGUUUUGGGUGAGAUAUUGUGCUUCCCCUGUAUCCCCAACACCUGAUUGCAUAACCGGAAAAUUUUGGGAGUUUAUAAGUGGGAAUUCAAGUAGCUCUUAGGAUAUCUUUCCGACAAAUGUAUGAUAUGAAAUUGGGGUUCGAUGUCUAGUGGUCCGCCUAUUCACGGUCGGUUUUACAGUGGUCUCAUUGUGUCUUAAAGAGUCCUUGGCUAUGCCGACUCGGGGACGCUUCGUAUGUCAUGUGCACUGCCUUGUACAUGAUGGUGCUGUACGAUCGAGCUCGUGUAGGCCCCACCACGAAAACUUCGGACGAAAUCUCUAUCAUAUGUUUGUUCCGGCUUAUUCUGCAAGCCAGUCCUUUGUUUUUGUUUUUGAGUUGUGGUAUUCGAGUUGCUUCAAUGUCAAGUGUUGAUUCCAUACCUUCCCCAAAUGGUGUUAUCAUACUCCGAUGUGAGUACUAAUCCUUCUCGGUCAUCGAGAUUGUGCUGUCAAUCCUUUUCAACCGGUGUGCUUCUCUUCAAGCAGAUCCAUCCAUUUUCAACAUCCGCAAGAUUCAAUCUCAGCUUUCUCAACGGUGUUUGCUUCAUCCGUUCCAAGUUGUCUUUGUUUUCCCACCCACCCACCCUUUUUCUUCAAGGAUUCAGAUUUCUUAAUCACUAUCCAUUUUAUUGAUGGAAGUCUCUCCUUCAUGUUUUUACCCGGUGGUUCACAUGAAGAUGCUCUUCUAGUUCGUCAUUCUUCAUUCUUUUCUUCUCCGGUGGACUCAAAUCAAGCUUUGGUGUUGAUCAUAUCCUUUUUCAUUGUUUCAAAUACCUUCUCAUGUCGGUGCACCUCACAAUCUUUCACCGCUUGCUAUUCUAUUGUUCCGGAGUGCUGAAGAUACCUCAGAAGAUGUUGGAUUUUAUUCUCAUUCUGUCAAGAUCUUUCGGGAAUGCUAUCUUAUUCAAGCCAUUUAAUUCAACCGAUGCUUUCUCUCUUGUAAAUCGUUCAACGGUGUUUUCUUUUAAGUGGGCCCUAACCCACAUGUCUUUUUCUAGGAUCUUACCUGACUCUUCUUAUUUUCCCGGCAUUACUCUCAAAUUCUUUUCCAAGUUUGACGUAAGAAUGAAUUGUCAUCAGUCAAAUGCCUUUCUCCUAGAUCUUCCAAAUUCUUUUCAUCAUUGGCUCAACCUCUUUGUUUUGAUUCUUCCGGAGUGUCUAAACAAUUCUUGGUGGUGUUUCUCGUUGUCAUUCUCAUAUUUUGAAGACCGAAGAAGAGUUUCUUUUAAAUCUUGCCCCAUUCUCUGCCAUCCUCCCAUAAUUGUUUCGGUUGCGAGUAUUUCUUUUCAACCAUCCAGAGUAAUUCAGGAGUCUUUUUAGUUUGAUUAUCCGGAGGCCAUCAAUUCAGGUUUAUUCAUUCUCAGCUUUCAGCUCUCAUUCUCUAAAUCUUACCGGUGUUUCGUGCAAAUAUCCUCUAAUCAGUUCGAGAUCUAUUCGUCCUCAUGUAUCAAAUCCCCUCAAGUAUCAUCUUUCGUUUUCCAAUUCUUUCCGGCGAUUUGUGUCCUUGCCACUUUCAUUUUUCAAUUCUUACGGUGGUUCGUUGAAGACGUUCUCAAGUUUUGAUAUAUCUCUUUUAAUCCUUUCUACGAGAAUAAGUAGUAUGCCAAUUCCAUUGUUUGUCAUCAUUUUAAUUGGUGAAGGAUAAGCAUAAUGUAAUCCUUAUUCUUAUUUCAUCCAAGUGAUUAAUUUCCUAUUCCAGAGCCUCAUCAAAAUUCUUGGUUUCAAUUGUUUCAUCUUUCUUUUCCGGAGUUCCAAGCUCUCGCAAUUAUAUCAUUCCAAAGAUCUAUCUAAUCAUUGCAAGGAUUCACCUUGUGUUUCCAACUUCUCUAUCCUUUCGUUUGAUCAUCCCUUUGCUUACCGGAGUUCUUCAUGGAGGUCUACAUGAUCGUUCAUCAAGGAUUUAAUUCCUUCUCGAAGGGUCAUCAACAUUCUUUUCAGAGGAGCUCAAGCAUUCUUCAUCUUGCAUUCCAAAGUGUGAUUCUUUCUUUCUUAUAUUUUGAGGUGGUGUUAUGUCACUCUUGACAAAUUUCCCUUCGUGUUUCAUGAUUCACAUGUUUUCAAGAGUGAGGUAUUUAAAUCCAUCAUUUUCUCUUCGCUCAAGUCUUCUUUCCAACCAAUCAACCUCUUCUUUGGAGUUAUCUUGGGGUAUAUUUCACCUAAAGCAUUCCCUAAGAAUUGUUGCUAUCCAUGGUGCUUAUAAUCACCCAAGUUCUUUAAUUAUCCUCCCGGUGAAUAAGUUUCUCGUCUCCUCGUUCAUAUCAAUCCAAUUCUUUUCCCAUGAGUGGCAGGUUGUCACCUCAUAAUUUGAGAUGUAUUCCAUAAGACCAUAUCAAGCUUAUUCUUUUCGUUGUUGGCUUUUCCAACAACUCCGUGCGAACCUUCUCCUUAAAAUGCUUUCCAAGCUCAUCGGAGGUACAAGAUGUUGUUUUCUUCUCCGUUCUUAUGUUCCGAUGAUCCAACUUCUAUUCUUUCAUUCCGGAGGCAUUGUGUUGUUGCUCUUUUCAACCUUUCUUCUUAUUUUUGUCAGAACCUUAUUCUUUUCAUGCCUAUCCAUUUAACAGGAGUGUUGUGCCCUUUUGCUCAAGUUCUUUUCGCCUUAUCAAGCCUUGCAUAUCUUUCCAACCGGAGUGCUGCCCAAAGUUGUUCUUCCUUGUUCCUCUUUGCUAACGGAGUGUUUUUCAACUUCGUUCAUCUCCGUUGCAUUCUUUCUUUCCAUUUGACCAACCUAUCAAGGUUCAUGGUUUCACUCGAUUGUCAAUGAAGCAACUUAGUUUUACCUCUUCUCUUUCUUUUCCGUUGUCCCUCCGGUGCCAUUCCAGAUCUCGGGACGAGAUCCUCUCGUAGUGGUGGAGUGUUGUAACGCCCCGAGACCGUUGUGCCAGGUGUCCUCCAGUUAUUCGCUGUUGUUGCCUUGUCAUUCGCUUGCGUGUUGCAUCUUGCCAUGUCAUCAUCUGCAUUGCAUCAUCAUGUUUUCGAAACUUGCAUCCGUCUCGUUCUCUGAGUUCUCUCCGUUGUCCAUUCUGAGCCCAACCACACUUGCACGCGCCCGCGACAUGUCCGAAAUAGUAUUUUAUAAGUGGCCGGAAAAUGUUCUCGGAAUGGGAUGAGAGUUGACGUCUGGUCUUAUUAUAGUGUAGAUAGACCGCCUGUCAAGUUUCAUCGCAUUCGGAGAUCGUUUGAUGCCCCAACGGAUAACUAUAGCGGCAGUAUAGUCGGUCUAACGUCGGACGUUUUCGUUCUCCGGAAACCGUGCCGGGCUGCAUCUCUCCAUUCUCCUCUCAGACCAAACCGCUCUCCACAGUCCUCCUAGGCCCAGCCUACCCCUCUUUGUGCCACGCAUAGACCUCUCGUGCGCGUCCGAAACUUACCCGGACCCGACCCGAGCAGUCGUCACUGUCGUGUCCGGAUCAUCCCCAAACAUCUACAAAAUAUCACUGUUUUCUUAAUUGGGCUCCCUAACUAUUUUAUUCGCGACCGUCCGAUUACGAUCGUAGAGAUGAGGUAGCCCCUAACCUAAUCCACCUAAUGUAUAUAUAUUGUCCAACCCUAAAAUCUAGGGGGUUUGUCCCUGCCGCCGCCGCCACACUACAUCUCCCACCUCGGGAUCGAUCCCCAUCCAAUCAGUUUGUGCGUCCCCGAUCCAAAAAUCCUGUCGAUCUCCCCCCUCCAACCAGCGCCUCCCCUGAUUCCCUCGUCCACCUCAUGCAGCCCCGAGCGCCCGAGGCCCCAACAACCCGUGCACCAGCCGGCCACCGAAGCUCCUCCGCGGCCUCCUUCCUCGCCCGACGACCAGCGCCGCUGCCGGCAACCACCACCAGGGACAGCUCCGCCCCGAGAGCCUCUGCUUUCACACAAGCUCCGCGUCCACCUCGUCACCGGCCGACCGAUCCAGCAGGAUCCGCCUCGUCUCCGCCCGCGGGCUACCUCCGAAGUCAGAACGGAGCUCCACCGUCACCCUGGUUUCGGAUCCAGCCAUCUCCGACGCCUCCUCGUCGGAGCCUGUUGCAGCUCCGCCCUGCCGCCGUUUGCCUCCUCUACCAUCAGAGAUGCCACGGCCGCACUCGAGCUGGCCUCGUUCCCCAGCCGUCCUAGCGAGCCUUCGGAUUUGGCUCGUCCACGCCGGGGUUUUCCUAGUCGUCGCCUACCUCGUCUUCAUCGCGCCAAGGCCGGCGCCCAUCUACUCAGCUUGCCUCGCUGCUGCUUCCCGUGCCUGCUUCCGCCAAGCCUCGCCAUCCUUCUGCCGGUGCCCACCCGGAGAUGAACGCAACAUCGUCCCGUUCGCCUCCUUCGUGCACCUGCACUCCACGCCGAGCUCGUCCUCGAGCCCGACGCAGGUCCCGCCGAUGAGCCCUGCUCCUUUCCUCGCCAUCUCUGUUUCCUUCUCCUGUAUCUCUCUCUUCAUUUCCUCCCUCUGUUCUUCCUCGCAGGGAACAACCAGAGCACCUCAGUGAUCGCCACCACCGGGAUUCGCCAGGUCUGGCGAGGCCCUGCGUUCCCUGCCUCCUCCCCGCCAAGUUCGCUGCCGCCGUCUUGUUUCUUCUCGACGGGCGCUUCGCCUCUGCUUCGAGGACGAGCCAGGCGUGCCCCGCGUUGACCCUCUGUAUCGACCACGCCAGGUAGCAGUGAGAUUCGGCCCAAGCCACUUCGCUACUUCUACAUCUCCACCGAGCUGGGCCAGGCCCAUGGUGAGCCUCACCACUGCGCCCCCUCCCACUGUUGGGCUGGACAGAUCCGGCCCUUUUAGUAUUUUUUCCUCGGGACGAUUUUGCUAUUAAUCCAGAGUUUGCCUGUUUUACAGAAAACCCCUUGUGCUUCAUGCAUUGAAUAACUUCUCAACUGUGCAUCAUAUGGAAAAACUUUAUAUAUGAAAUAUGCUUAGAAUUGCAUCUAGUUUCAUAAUAUGUCAUUUCCAUCCAUGUUUAAAAUGUUUAAAAUGUUGUUUGAUUAAUUUUUGCUCUAUGCCAUGCUAAAAUGGUUUAAUUCAUAACUAAAUAACCGUAACUCGGAAUUUAAUAAAUUUUAUAUGUAAAUGGGGUAGAAAAUUCCUAGUUGAACAUGAUGCACUCACCUAGCAUGUUUAACAACUCUAAAAUUAUGUUUAGGGCAGAAUAGCAACAAACCUAAUAUAUGCAUAUGAGGAGUUUCCGGACUUGUUGUUUUGUUGUUCCGGCCUCAUUUAAACUUGCCUAGAUUAGAUAGUUUCAUCAUGCUUCCCCUCUUGCCAUGUUUAACAACAUUUAAUAUUGUUGGGUACAUAAACGAGAUCGAACUAAAUAACUUGUUGUGGUGUUUCGUCAAUAUGCAACUCGUUGCAUAUUAAGCUCCACUUAAUUUGUAGGGUUGCUUGUGCACUUUGCCAUGCCAUGCUUCAUUAAACCGGACAUGCAUCAUACUUGUUUGCGCAUCAUGACAUGUCUAUGUGGUGGUUGUUUACUAUGUUGUGUGCUUCUUUCCGGUGUUGCUUCUUCGGGUUGGUUCCGAUAACGUUGCGUUUGUGAGGAACCGUUCGACUACAUCAGUUUGUCUUCUUCAUGGACUCGUUCUUCUUCCUUGCGGGAUCUCAGGCAAGAUGACCAUACCCUCGAAAUCACUUCUAUCUUUGCUUGCUAGUUGCUCGCUCUUUUGCUAUGCCCAUGCUGCGAUACCUACCACUUGCUUAUCAUGCCUCCCAUAUUGUUGAACCAAGCCUCUAACCCACCUUGCCCUAGCAAACCGUUGUUUGGCUAUGUUACCGCUUUGCUCAGCCCCUCUUAUAGCGUUGUUAGUUGCAGGCGAAGAUUGAAGUUUGUUCCUUGUUGGAACAUGGAGAUGUUGUUCCUUGUUGGAACAUGUUUACUUGUUGGGAUAUCACAAUAUAUCUUAUUUAAUUAAUGCAUCUAUAUACUUGGUAAAGGGUGGAAGGCUCGGCCUUUUGCCUGGCGUUUUGUUCCACUCUUGCCGCCCUAGUUUCCGCCAUAUCGGUGUUAUGUUCCCGGAUUUUGCGUUCCUUACGCGGUUGGGUAAUAAUGGGAACCCCUUGACAGUUCGCCUUGAGUAAAACUCUUCCAGCAAUGCCCAACAUUGGUUUUACCAUUCGCCACCUAGCCUUUUCUUUCCCUUGGGUUCUGCAGACUCAAGGGUCAUCAUNNNNNNNNNNNNNNNNNNNNNNNNNNNNNNNNNNNNNNNNNNNNNNNNNNNNNNNNNNNNNNNNNNNNNNNNNNNNNNNNNNNNNNNNNNNNNNNNNNNNNNNNNNNNNNNNNNNNNNNNNNNNNNNNNNNNNNNNNNNNNNNNNNNNNNNNNNNNNNNNNNNNNNNNGGAGCAACUCUGGGCUGGCCUACCCGUUCCUAGGACAAUCUGAGUGUGCCCUGAGAAAGAGAUAUGUGCAGCUCCUAUCGGGAUUUGUCGGCACAUUCGGGCGGUGUUGCUGGUUUAGUUUUACCUUGUCGAAAUGUCUUGUAACCGGGAUUCCGAGUCUGAUCGGGUCUUCCCGCUAGAAGGAAUAUCCUUCGUUGACCGUGAGAGCUUGUAAUGGGCUAAGUUGGGACUUCCCUGCAGGGAUUUGAACUUUCGAAAGCCGUGCCCGCGGUUAUGGGCAGAUGGGAAUUUGUUAACGUCUGGUUGUAGAAAACCUGAAGUUGACCUUAAUUAAAAUACAUCAACCGCGUGUGUAACCGUGAUGGUCUCUUUCCGGCAGAGUCCGGGAAGUGAACACGGUGUUGGAGUUAUGCUUGAUGUAGGUUGUUCUAGGAUCACUUCUUGAUCAUAGUUUCUCGACCGUGCUUUGCCUUCUCUUCUUGCUCUCAUUUGCGUAUGUUAGCCACCAUAUAUGCUAGUCGCUUGCUGCAGCUCCACCUCAUACCUUUACCUUUCCCAUAAGCUUAAAUAGUCUUGAUCGUGAGGGUGCGAGAUUGCUGAGUCCCCGUGGCUCACAGAUACUUCCAAAACCAGCUUGCAGGUGCCGAUGAGUCCGUGCAGAUGACACAACCAAGCUCAAGGAGGAGCUCGAUGAAGAUCUUGUCCUUUAUGUUGUUUCGUUCUAGUUGAUCAGUAGUGGAGCCCAGUUGGGGGGGAUCGGGGACCUUGUCGCAUUUGGGGUUCUUCUUUUAUUUUGGUUCCGUAGUCGGACCUUGAUUGUAUCUGUUUGAUGUAAUGCUUUAUUCAUGUAAUUGUGUGAAGUGGCGAUUGUAAGCCAACUAUGUAUCUUUCCCUUAUGUAUUACAUGGGUUGUGUGAAGAUUACCUCACUUGCGACAUUGCUUUCAAUGCGGUUAUGCCUCUAAGUCGUGCUUCGACACGUGGGAGAUCUAGCCGCAUCGAGGGUGUUACAAAACAUUGGUAGAGAUA
RNAcentral lists this long non-coding RNA (8302 nucleotides) under Triticum aestivum (bread wheat). RNAcentral's name for it is "long non-coding RNA (TAES_LNC006118)". The record is from RNAcentral. Lineage: Eukaryota; Viridiplantae; Streptophyta; Magnoliopsida; Poales; Poaceae.